ACGAGCGCACCCUUGUCACUAAUUGCCAUCAUUCAGUUGGGCACUUUAGUGAGACUGCCGGUGACAAACCGGAGGAAGGUGGGGAUGACGUCAAGUCCUCAUGGCCCUUAUGGGUAGGGCUUCACACGUAAUACAAUGGCGCGUACAGAGGGUUGCCAACCCGCGAGGGGGAGCUAAUCUCAGAAAGCGCGUCGUAGUCCGGAUCGGAGUCUGCAACUCGACUCCGUGAAGUCGGAAUCGCUAGUAAUCGCGGAUCAGCAUGUCGCGGUGAAUACGUUC
RNAcentral lists this ribosomal RNA (279 nucleotides) under uncultured bacterium. RNAcentral's name for it is "partial 16S ribosomal RNA". It matches the Rfam family "Bacterial small subunit ribosomal RNA", at positions 1092 to 1373 of the family's 1533-position model. The record is from RNAcentral.